AUUGAACGCUGGCGGCAUGCCUUACACAUGCAAGUCGAACGGUAACAGGUCUUCGGAUGCUGACGAGUGGCGAACGGGUGAGUAAUACAUCGGAACGUGCCUAGUAGUGGGGGAUAACUACUCGAAAGAGUGGCUAAUACCGCAUGAGAUCUACGGAUGAAAGCAGGGGAUCGCAAGACCUUGUGCUACUAGAGCGGCCGAUGGCAGAUUAGGUAGUUGGUGGGAUAAAAGCUCACCAAGCCGACGAUCUGUAGCUGGUCUGAGAGGACGAUCAGCCACACUGGGACCGAGACACGGCCAGACUCCUACGGGAGGCAGCAGUGGGGAAUUUUGGACAAUGGGCGCAAGCCUGAUCCAGCAAUGCCGCGUGCAGGAUGAAGGCCUUCGGGUUGUAAACUGCUUUUGUACGGAGCGAAAAGCCCCGGGUUAAUACCCUGGGGUCAUGACGGUACCGUAAGAAUAAGCACCGGCUAACUACGUGCCAGCCGCCGCCGUAA
Molecule: ribosomal RNA, 497 nt
Filed under: uncultured bacterium
Lineage: Bacteria
Description: partial 16S ribosomal RNA
Rfam family: Bacterial small subunit ribosomal RNA
Source: RNAcentral